CAAACGCUUUGUUGCAGAGCUGAGUCGCAUAUCAGAUAGGGAAUACAACUCACUUUUCAGCGUUGAACAAAUGAGAAGGAUAGCGAAGGAUCUACGACUGCAGAUUCGUAGUUUUGAUGACUUUGUUUACUCUCUGAACAACCAAGGUUUUCUUUUAAAGAAAGGACCAAGAGUCUAUCAGCUGCAGACUUCGAACUGCCUGUAAUUGAGGAGUAAGCUGCGGGGAAUGUUUGAUGGAGAUUAUGUCCUUGAAAACGACAAAGCCGAGUGAAAAUACUACACCUGUAUCUUCGAGUCUAUUCGGGUGAAAGCUUUCUACAUUUAAAUCAAAAUUUGGUUCCUUGGGUCCUCAAGUUAGGUCUCAUACUUGCAAAAGAACUGAACCAUUUUUCCGAAAAUCUGAUGUUCAACUUGUUAUGAUCCUUGUAACCAUAAGCAUGAGUGGAACCCCUUUCUCCUUUAUGAUUCUUUUGGUAAACUCUGCCGGAGCAACCUGAAUAUAUCGGUAAACCUUGGGCUUGAGAAUCAUAUCCUCGAGCUUUAGCCAUUUGUUGAAUGCUGUGAAGUUCAUGUUAAAAACGCUCGAUUGCACUCUUCGUUUCUUUUUUCCUUCUUCUUCCAUGGAUGAAUAUUUAUUCUCGCUAA
This is a long non-coding RNA of Stylophora pistillata, 645 nucleotides long. The record is from RefSeq and is a predicted model, not a curated record. NCBI's taxonomy places the organism in Eukaryota, Metazoa, Cnidaria, Anthozoa, Scleractinia, Pocilloporidae.